UUUUUUUUAAAUUCAGGAGGUUCUGGCCGAAGCCCGUAAUCCCCCCAUGCCCGAAACCACAGUAUGUAAUAUUAGUUUUGUCCCAAACGUCACUCGAACCGGUGACUUCUAAGUUUCGCCUAAGGUCUUUACCAAUUAAGCUAACGACACUUGGUAUCGCAUUAAUUUAUUGAUAACAAGCAAAUCACUUAUAUCGUAUAUGAAACCUUAUGAUCAACAAAUUAU
RNAcentral lists this small RNA (225 nucleotides) under Arabidopsis thaliana (thale cress). RNAcentral's name for it is "ATSL077910". Lineage: Eukaryota; Viridiplantae; Streptophyta; Magnoliopsida; Brassicales; Brassicaceae. The record is from RNAcentral.